GUCCAGAGUCCACAUCGACGGGGGCACCUCGAUGUCGGCUCAUCACAUCCUGGGGCUGUAGUAGGUCCCAAGGGUUGGGCUGUUCGCCCAUUAAAGUGGUACGCGAGCUGGGUUCAGAACGUCGGGAGACAGUUCGGUCCCUAUCCGUCGCAGGCGUAGGAAAUUUGAGAAGACCUGUCCUUAGUACGAGAGGACCGGGAUGGACGUACCUCUGGUGUACCAGUUGU
Molecule: ribosomal RNA, 227 nt
Filed under: Clostridioides difficile
Lineage: Bacteria; Bacillati; Bacillota; Clostridia; Peptostreptococcales; Peptostreptococcaceae
Description: partial 23S ribosomal RNA
Rfam family: Bacterial large subunit ribosomal RNA
Source: RNAcentral